RNAcentral lists this small RNA (27 nucleotides) under Bombyx mori (domestic silkworm). RNAcentral describes it as "ovarian small RNA-34425". The record is from RNAcentral. Lineage: Eukaryota; Metazoa; Arthropoda; Insecta; Lepidoptera; Bombycidae.
UGGAACCACAUAGCCUCGGAUUUACUG